AAAUACUUGAACCUUAAAAGUGCUAAGGGAGAGGAGUAUGCUAGAAGCCACCCACCGCCUGAAUGUGACCUCGAGAAAUGGAAAAACUUGAUUGACAAGAAGUGGAAUGAUGCCAAUUGGCUGAAGCAAUCAAAUUCUAACAUUGACAAUAGAAAUCAAUUGAAGACAAAGCAUAGGUGUGGGUCAAAAUCUCUCCCAGUUAGGGUACACGAGGCGACAAUUGCAAAUGGGGGCCAACUGCCAGAGUUGCCAUGUGUUUACAAAUCUACACACUUUAAU
Molecule: non-coding RNA, 279 nt
Organism: Camellia sinensis
Lineage: Eukaryota; Viridiplantae; Streptophyta; Magnoliopsida; Ericales; Theaceae
Source: RefSeq, a predicted model, not a curated record